This 319-nucleotide ribosomal RNA is filed under the name uncultured bacterium. Its description in RNAcentral is "bacterial SSU rRNA". It matches the Rfam family "Bacterial small subunit ribosomal RNA", at positions 470 to 789 of the family's 1533-position model. The record is from RNAcentral.
UGCAGGUACUGGUUGAAUAAGGACCGGCUAAUUCCGUGCCAGCAGCCGCGGUAAUACGGAAGGUCCGAGCGUUAUCCGGAUUUAUUGGGUUUAAAGGGAGCGCAGGCGGAGAUGCAAGCCAGCCGUUAAAUAAUGGGGCUCAACCCCAUAGUGCGGUUGGAACUGCAUCCCUUGAGUGCACUAGAGGACGGUGGAACUCGUGGUGUAGCGGUGAAAUGCAUAGAUAUCACGAAGAACUCCGAUUGCGAAGGCAGCCGUCUGGGGUGUUACUGACGCUCAUGCUCGAAGGCGCGGGUAUCAAACAGGAUUAGAUACCCUG